RNAcentral lists this ribosomal RNA (2388 nucleotides) under groundwater metagenome. Its description in RNAcentral is "bacterial LSU rRNA". It matches the Rfam family "Bacterial large subunit ribosomal RNA", at positions 1 to 2251 of the family's 2925-position model. The record is from RNAcentral.
UAUGGAGAAAAAUUUUUUCUCUAUUAAAGAUGCCACUUCUUUUUCGAAAAAAGUAAAAUCAAUUCUGUCAAUAUGGAAAUUUAAGGUAUAAUAAAAAGGACGUUUAUUACGUAAGCGAAAAAUUUUUAUGAAAAUAAUUUUGAUUCAUUUAAAAAAUUUCCAAUUGUUAAAUACAAAAGUGCAUCGGUAUAUACCGAACAAAAAACCUGAUGAAGUGAACCAUCUUAGUAAUCAAAAAGGGAAUAGAAAUCAAUAGAGAUACCGUAAGUAGUGGCGAGCGAACCCGGUCCAGAAAAGAGCACAGUUGAUAGGAUUAAUCAAUAAAACGUUGAGAAAUAUCUUGCAAACCUUUGUUGGUACGAAAGUCCAAAAAAAUACGUUGAUGAAACCGAUGCAACGAUCGAGUAGUUCGAUGAUACAAGUUUGAACGAAUUGGGAAUACCACUUUCCAACUCUGAAUAUGUUAUUAUAACCAAUAGUGAACAAGUACCGUGAGGGAAAAAAUGAAAAAGAACCUAAUUUGGAGUCUGAAAAUAAGUACUUGAAAUAUGAAGAUUGUAAUAAUCAAUUGCGUUUAACUAAUGCAAUGUACCUUUUGUAUAAUGGGUCAGCAACUUAAUUCUUGUAACAAAUUUAAUUUGUAUUUUAGUUAAAAGUAGGUGAAGUGAGAACGAGCUAAUUGUAAAAGCUUUAUAAGUUAAAAGAAUUAGACCCGAAAUCACGUGAUCUAUUUUUCGACAGAGCGCACGGUUCGAACACACAUCUGUAGCAAAAGAUGGUGAUGAUUGAAGAAUAGGGGUGAAAGGCUAAUCAAACGUGAUAAUAGCUGGUUUUUUGCGAAAUUUAUUUUAGUACAGUGUUACUGAAAAUUUAAACUAAAGGUAGAGCACUCUAAUUGUAAGAGGUGUCCAAAAAACAUUAUCGAGCUUUGUGAAACUCCGAAUAUUAGUUUAAAAUGUAAUAAACAGACUUUGAGUGCGAAGGUUCAAAGUCGAAAGGGCAACAGCCCAGAUUAUAAGAUAAGGUCUCCAAGAGAUUGAUAAGUGUGUAAGAACAUUAGAAAGUGAGGAUCUCUAAAGGAUAGGCUCGGAUGCAGCCACUCUUUCAAGAACGCGUUAUAGCAUAUUGUCCAAUUAAAAAAUAAUUUUUUGUUUUUUAUAAAUUUUCUGAUUUCCAAAAUGUUGUGAGACUACUUCAAUUCACCGAAUCUAUAAAUUAAUAUGAAUAUUUAUUUUAUAUUAAUGGUAGCAAAACGUUCUAUAUAUAUUGCAGGCAUUAUUGGAAAAUAGUGAAUACAAUUUUAGAAGUGCGAAUGCUGAUAUAAGUAACGAAUAACAUCACCAAGCAAGUAUGAAUAUCAUAUUUUGUUUUGAGGUUUGAUAAAAAAUGUCGCUGAAUUACCUAAAGUUUUCUACGUCAAAGUUAAUUGCGUAGAGUAAAUACGGUUUCUAAGUUUUAAAUCCUAACGGAAUGAACGAUGAAAAAGAGGUUUCAAAAAAAGUGAAAUUAAAUAUAUUGUGUGUGCGAUUGAACACUCCGCCCAAUGGAUUUCGCAUAGCGUUACGUAAACACCCGUAAAGUUAUGAGGAAAAAAUGUAUGUUAUCAUUAAAAUUAUCGACAAUAAAAGAAGUUAAAUUUUUAGUGUUGCGGUAUGGUGACAAAUACAAAACUAAACAUUGAGGAAAACCGCACUUUGAUAAGGUGGCAACAUCUUUAUGAAAGGUUGAGACCGUACUGUAAACCGACACAGGUGGGUAGGUAGAAUAUACUAAGGCGAUUGAGAAAAUAGUAUUUAAGGAACUCUGCAAAUUCGAGCACUAACUUUGGGAUAGAAGCUUCCCUGUGUUGUGACACAUAGGGGUCACUGAAGAGAUUGCGGCGACUGUUUAGUAAAAACACAAAACUCUGCAAAAUUGAAUAUGAUGUAAAGGGUUUGAGGCUUGUCCAGUGCUUUACGGUUAAUUUUGAAUGUGACAGCGUUUGAUUGAGACUCGAGUUAACGACGGCUGUAACCAUAACGGUCCUAAGGUAGCGAAAUACCUAGUCCGCUAAUUUCGGACGCGCAUGAAUAGCAUAACGAUCGCAGUACUGUCUCGAAUACUAACUCAGUGAAAUUGAAUUUUCCGUGAAGAUGCGGGAUUCCCUUUGACUAGACGGAAAGACCCUAUACACCUUAACUUUUACCAGUAGUUGUUAGAUUUGUUCAAUUGUGUAGACGUAGGUAGAAAACUUUGAUUGAGUAGCGCUAGCUUCUCAUCAGUGUAAAAGGUGAAAUACUACUUUUUGAAGACAUUUCUGCUUAGAUAUAUGUUUAUUUAAUUUAAAACAAAAAAUUUUAAACGGAUUAUGUAAGCUAAACCUUGCAAUUAAGUAUCCAAUUAAAUUGA